AGUGAUAUGGCCGAGUUAAGGCGGUGGACUGUAAAUCCUCUUAUAAUAGUUUACUUAUUUGUCAUUA
Molecule: transfer RNA, 67 nt
Filed under: Tropostreptus austerus
Lineage: Eukaryota; Metazoa; Arthropoda; Diplopoda; Spirostreptida; Spirostreptidae
Description: tRNA-Tyr
Rfam family: tRNA
About the family: Transfer RNA (tRNA) molecules are approximately 80 nucleotides in length. Their secondary structure includes four short double-helical elements and three loops (D, anti-codon, and T loops).
Source: RNAcentral